AAGCGCCACGGAAUGGCGGAUCCCUUGUGCUCCUCUCUCUCUUUACAGGUGGUUGUAGGCUUGAAAAUGGAAAAGAAAAAAAAUGAUUUAGGGACAUGGUGUUGUAGGUUUGAAAUGGGGAAAUGGGGAUGCACAGAGAGGGGAUGCUAGGGCUUGGGUAUCUUGUUUGGGAAGGAUUUUCUAAUUUGGAAAAAAAAUUUGCAAUUAAUUUUAA
Molecule: long non-coding RNA, 214 nt
Filed under: Actinidia chinensis (golden kiwifruit)
Lineage: Eukaryota; Viridiplantae; Streptophyta; Magnoliopsida; Ericales; Actinidiaceae
Description: long non-coding RNA (ACHI_LNC004370)
Source: RNAcentral